CCACUGGUCUCAAACUCCUGAGCUCAAGUGAUCCACCCACCUCGGCCUUCCAAAGUGCUGGGAUUACAGACACGAGCCACUGCUCCCAGCCUCCAAUAUCUUCAGCAGAUUUCUAAGUCAAUAUGCCAUGCCCUGGAACAGGGUGGGGGGACCAUAGCCUCAGCGGACCACAGAGAGGAGGCCCUGUGGUCGGAAAAGGAGCUGGCAAGGGAGGAGCUGGGCUAGGGAAGCUUCGUCCCCUCACCCCCUUAGACAGCCCCCUGUGAGGUCUCUGAGGACCUGACAAGUCAGGGCUUGAGAGGGGCAGGCAGUUCAGGUGCAAGCCAGCUGCUGAGCUUAACAGAUCCAGAAAAAGAUCCUCUGUGACUCAUCAGAGCAUGCUGCCUCCUCCACCCAUGCCCUCCCCAUCCCCUGGGUGGCAGACCCAGGAAUGGGCCACGGAGGGCAGGGCUGGGCUGAUGAGCCUGUUGGGGCUCCUCUAGGGGAUGGCCAAGGCCAGCUGCCACCAUCCCUAUACCCAGGACCCCCUCACUCUACUCCUCCCACCCCCACACAGGGCACCUUCAGCCUGCGGAAGCUAUGGGCCUUCACGGGGCCUGGCUUCCUCAUGAGCAUUGCUUUCCUGGACCCAGGAAACAUCGAGUCAGAUCUUCAGACUGGCGCCGUGGCGGGAUUCAAACUUCUCUGGGUGCUGCUCUGGGCCACGGUGUUGGGCUUGCUCUGCCAGCGACUGGCUGCACGUCUGGGCGUGGUGACAGGCAAGGACUUGGGCGAGGUCUGCCAUCUCUACUACCCUAAGGUGAGCUUGGGGGGCCUGGACAGGGAGAACCACUGGCCCCAAACCCCAAACAGCCAUUUUCAGCUUCCACGAUCAAAUAAAUACAUCAUCUCACAUGGGGCAUCCCAAGUCUGUUUGUUUUUGUUGUUGUUUGUUUGUUUGUUUGUUUUUCAGUCGGAGUCUCACUCCGUCGCCCAGUCAGGAGUGCAAUGGUGCGAUGUCAGCUCACUGCAACCUCUACCUCCCAGGUGCCCCGCACCGUCCUCUGGCUGACCAUCGAGCUAGCCAUUGUGGGCUCCGACAUGCAGGAAGUCAUCGGCACGGCCAUUGCAUUCAAUCUGCUCUCAGCUGGACGGUACCACCCCAGUGUACCCCAACUCUUCAGGCCAGGCAGAGAACAGCUGCUGCUACUUCCCCCCACCCAGUCCCUCCCAGAGUCUAUUUUAUCCUGCUGUCCCCUCUGAAGCAGGGCUGCUGCCCUGUUUUCCAGAAAUGUAAAGUGACUUGUCUAAAGUCACACAGAUGUGAGUCAUGCAGGACUUUGGGACUGCAGCCCUAAACUCCCUGCUGCGCCGGGUGCCAGGUCUCUCCUCUAGCUCUGCCCUACCUCGACUGUUCUAUGCCACACUCCCACUCCCCUUGCCCUAGCUGUCUGGGGGCGCUUAGGGUCCUGCUCCCAGGAGGCCAGAUUCCUGUCUCCAGCCCUGAGGCUCCGUAGGAGUUAGAGACCCCUGGACCAGGCUGGGCUGACCCGGGCCACUCUGGUUUCAGAAUCCCACUCUGGGGUGGCGUCCUCAUCACCAUCGUGGACACCUUCUUCUUCCUCUUCCUCGAUAACUACGGGCUGCGGAAGCUGGAAGCUUUUUUUGGACUCCUUAUAACCAUUAUGGCCUUGACCUUUGGCUAUGAGGUAGGAAGCCAGUGCUGCAACCCCACCGUGGACCUCCCAAGAUCAUUCCUCUCCCUUCCCUCUGGCCGCGGGCUGCGGGGGGCUGGAGUGGGAUGGAGGCUGAGAAAUGGUGACCGCGGCGUGGUUGCGAGGGGCGGGACUUGUCCUGACCAGGCUCCUCCCUGCAGUAUGUGGUGGCGCGUCCUGAGCAGGGAGCGCUUCUUCGGGGCCUGUUCCUGCCCUCGUGCCCGGGCUGCGGCCACCCCGAGCUGCUGCAGGCGGUGGGCAUUGUUGGCGCCAUCAUCAUGCCCCACAACAUCUACCUGCACUCGGCCCUGGUCAAGGUGAGCAGAGGGGAGGGGAAAGGAGACCACCUCACUCAGUCGGAGUCAUGCUGGCUCCGCCUCCAAGCCUGGAGCCCCUCCCCUCUGGCUCCUUCCGUCAGGAUUUGCGGAGCCUGUAAUAAUUGAGGGUCAGGCGAGGCGCCAUGGCUCACGCCUGUAAUCCCAGCACUUUGGGAGGCGGAGGCGGGCGGAUCACGAGGUCAAGAGAUCGACACCAUCCUGGUCAACAUGGCGAAACCCCGUCUCUACUAAAAAUACAAAAACUAGCUGGGCGUGGUGGCGCGCGCCUGUAGUCCCAGCUGCUUGGGAGGCUGAGGCAGGAGAAUCGCUUGAACCCGGGAGGCAGGGGUUGCGGUGAGCCGAGAUCGCGCCACUGCACCACUCCAGCCUGGCGACAGAGCGAGACUCUGUCUCAAAAAAAAA
Molecule: small RNA, 2434 nt
Filed under: Pan troglodytes (chimpanzee)
Lineage: Eukaryota; Metazoa; Chordata; Mammalia; Primates; Hominidae
Description: retained intron
Source: RNAcentral